AGCGAACGCUGGCGGCAUGCUUAACACAUGCAAGUCGCACGGUCAGCAAUGGCAGUGGCGGACGGGUGAGUAACGCGUAGGGUAUCUAUCCUCGGGUGGGGGGGACAACCACGGGAAACUGUGGCUAAUACCGCAUGAUGACUGAGGUCUAAAGGCGCAAGUCGCCUGAGGAGGAGCCUGCGUCCGAUUAGCUAGUUGGUGGGGUAAAGGCCUACCAAGGCGACGAUCAGUAGCUGGUCUGAGAGGAUGAUCAGCCACAUUGGGACUGAGACACGGCCCAAACUCCUACGGGAGGCAGCAGUGGGGAAUAUUGGACAAUGGGCGAAAGCCUGAUCCAGCAAUGCCGCGUGUGUGAAGAAGGUCUUCGGAUUGUAAAGCACUUUUGGCAGGGACGAUGAUGACGGUACCUGCAGAAUAAGCCCCGGCUAACUUCGUG
This 436-nucleotide ribosomal RNA is filed under the name uncultured bacterium. RNAcentral's name for it is "bacterial SSU rRNA". It matches the Rfam family "Bacterial small subunit ribosomal RNA", at positions 29 to 507 of the family's 1533-position model. The record is from RNAcentral.